Mytilus trossulus (common blue mussel) is the source of this 826-nucleotide long non-coding RNA. RefSeq lists it as uncharacterized. The record is from RefSeq and is a predicted model, not a curated record. Lineage: Eukaryota; Metazoa; Mollusca; Bivalvia; Mytilida; Mytilidae. The transcript is spliced from 2 exons.
CCAUUGUUAAUCCUAGAAGACACAAGUAAAAGUUGAUUUGAGUCAAAGUUCAGAUUCUUCUAUUUGUAAUUCCAUAAAGCUGGAAGCCUUGGACUGAUUGCUCAGUUUUUUAGAAAAUGGAAAUCGAGAAAACUGUACUACAUGUACUAUUGAGGAAGACAGAUGCACAUAAGAUAAUUCUUAACAAAAGCAGCAGUGGAGAGCAUGUUAUCAUGCAACAUAGACUAGUCUAUUCUUUGUUAAAUGAUGUAAAAAUGAAAAUAUCAGAAACAGUGAAUAGAUUGUAUGCAGAUAAGAUAAAUUCAAAUCAGCCUAAAAAGUCUAUAUCUUUAGAAUCAACAAAUAAUUCAUAGGCACUUAAUUCAGAUAAAGUUCUUCAAAUGAGAUGGGCAUCCAUGUUAAUAAAUCCAGAGUCACAUUACUUCAACAACUAAAGCAAGCUAUUGUACAUGACUGAAAAAUCUAAUAUUAAAAGGCGAGUGGUAACAAGGUAGAUCCUUAAGUGGCUGCUGAUGAGAUGAGAUCUUUAUACAACAUGUACAAAAAGGAGAAUUUUGAUCAGACCAACAAAUUGCUUCAUUUUUGUCCUUCCUUUGUCAGAUAGAGAAAAAAGACUUAGUUGUUCUGAAGAUUAUGUAGCAGCAGAGAAAAAAGACAGAACAGAUAUAAAAAGUACUUUUGGAACCAAAUAACAGUUAAACUGUUUUUAGUUUUAAUUCUUUUCAUGCUUACCGCUUUCUUGACCAAUAAAACUAGAUAUUAGUGUCUUUCAGUUUGUAAAUACAUGUAUUGACUGCAUUAUUUAUGAAUAAAAAACUUUAUUUUG